AUUGAACGCUGGCGGCAUGCCUUACACAUGCAAGUCGAACGGCAGCACGGGAGCAAUCCUGGUGGCGAGUGGCGAACGGGUGAGUAAUAUAUCGGAACGUGCCCAGUCGUGGGGGAUAACGUAGCGAAAGCUACGCUAAUACCGCAUACGAUCUAUGGAUGAAAGCGGGGGAUCGCAAGACCUCGCGCGAUUGGAGCGGCCGAUAUCAGAUUAGGUAGUUGGUGAGGUAAAGGGCUCACCAAGCCGACGAUCUGUAGCUGGUCUGAGAGGACGACCAGCCACACUGGGACUGAGACACGGCCCAGACUCCUACGGGAGGCAGCAGUGGGGGAAUUUUUGGACAAUGGNGCAAGACCUGAUCCAGCAAUAGCCGCGUGCAGGAGU
RNAcentral lists this ribosomal RNA (384 nucleotides) under uncultured bacterium. RNAcentral describes it as "bacterial SSU rRNA". It matches the Rfam family "Bacterial small subunit ribosomal RNA", at positions 30 to 410 of the family's 1533-position model. The record is from RNAcentral.